AUGGCUCAGGAUGAACGCUAGCGGCAGGCCUAAUACGAUCGCAAGUCAAGGGGCCAGUAAUGGCACCGGCGGACGGGUGCGUAACGCGUACACAACGUACCUUUGGGUGGGGGAUAGCAUCGGGAAACUGGUGGUAAUACCCCAUGGUAUUGGAGACUGGCAUCAGUUUCAAUUAAAGACUACGCCCAAAGAUCGGUGUGCGUCUGAUUAGCUAGUUGGUAGGGUAACGGCCUACCAAGGCGACGAUCAGUAGGGGAUGUGAGAGCAUGAUCCCCCACACGGGUACUGAGACACGGACCCGACUCCUACGGGAGGCAGCAGUGGGGAAUUUUCCGCAAUGGGCGAAAGCCUGACGGAGCAAUACCGCGUGAGGGAAGACUGCCUAUGGGUUGUAAACCUCUUUUUUCAGGGAGGAAUAAAAUGACGUGUACCUGAAGAAUAAGCAUCGGCUAACUCCGUG
RNAcentral lists this ribosomal RNA (460 nucleotides) under uncultured bacterium. RNAcentral's name for it is "bacterial SSU rRNA". It matches the Rfam family "Bacterial small subunit ribosomal RNA", at positions 19 to 507 of the family's 1533-position model. The record is from RNAcentral.